RNAcentral lists this unclassified non-coding RNA (296 nucleotides) under Chytridiomycota sp. RNAcentral's name for it is "partial contains small subunit ribosomal RNA, internal transcribed spacer 1, and 5.8S ribosomal RNA". The stretch from base 1 to 47 matches the Rfam family "Eukaryotic small subunit ribosomal RNA", at positions 1785 to 1831 of the family's 1831-position model. The record is from RNAcentral. Lineage: Eukaryota; Fungi; Chytridiomycota.
AAAGUCGUAACAAGGUAACCGUAGGUGAACCUGCGGUUGGAUCAUUAACAAUAAGUUUAAAAUCUCUGGGUUAGCUAGUUUUGCAAAGCCCAGAAUUUUCGACACAUUUUGUGAACUGUAUUUGUCUCUGGCGGGAGGGAUAGAAUUCAUCUAUGAACUGGUUUUAUCUGUCAGCUUGGUUUUGGCUGAGCCGUGGACAACCCGCCAACCAAUUGCAUAAACUUAAUAUUAUUUUAUGUCUAACAUUCUUUGUAUGAAAUUACAAACAACUUUUGGCAACGGAUCUCUUGGCUCUC